Molecule: ribosomal RNA, 253 nt
Filed under: uncultured bacterium
Lineage: Bacteria
Description: partial 16S ribosomal RNA
Rfam family: Bacterial small subunit ribosomal RNA
Source: RNAcentral
UACGAAGGGUGCAAGCGUUACUCGGAAUUACUGGGCGUAAAGCGUGCGUAGGUGGUUUGUUAAUUCUGAUGUGAAAGCCCUGGGCUCAACCUGGGAAUUGCAUUGGAUACUGGCAGGCUAGAGUGCGGUAGAGGAUGGCGGAAUUCCCGGUGUAGCAGUGAAAUGCGUAGAGAUCGGGAGGAACAUCUGUGGCGAAGGCGGCCAUCUGGACCAGCACUGACACUGAGGCACGAAAGCGUGGGGAGCAAACAGG